Molecule: ribosomal RNA, 514 nt
Filed under: uncultured fungus
Lineage: Eukaryota; Fungi
Description: SSU rRNA
Rfam family: Eukaryotic small subunit ribosomal RNA
Source: RNAcentral
AUUAGAUAAAAAACCGAUGUCUUCGGACUCUUUGGUGAUUCAUAAUAACUUCACGAAUCGCAUGGCCUUGAGCUGGCGAUGGUUCAUUCAAAUUUCUGCCCUAUCAACUUUCGAUGGUAGGAUAGUGGCCUACCAUGGUUUCAACGGUAACGGGGAAUUAGGGUUCGAUUCCGGAGAGGGAGCCUGAGAAACGGCUACCACUUCCAAGGAGGGCAGCAGGCGCGCAAAUUACCCAAUCCCGACACGGGGAGGUAGUGACAAUAAAUACUGAUGCAGGGCCCUUUCGGGUCUUGUAAUCGGAAUGAGUACAAUUUAAAUCCCUUAACGAGGAACAAUUGGAGGGCAAGUCUGGUGCCAGCAGCCGCGGUAAUUCCAGCUCCAAUAGCGUAUAUUAAAGUUGUUGCAGUUAAAAAGCUCGUAGUUGAACCUUGGGUCUGGCUGACUGGUCCGCCUCACUGCGUGCACUGGUUCGGCCGGACCUUUCCUUCUGGCAAACCCCAUGCCCUUUACUGGG